RNAcentral lists this ribosomal RNA (1696 nucleotides) under metagenome. RNAcentral's name for it is "bacterial LSU rRNA". It matches the Rfam family "Bacterial large subunit ribosomal RNA", at positions 1212 to 2925 of the family's 2925-position model. The record is from RNAcentral.
UUCAUGAACUCGAGCGGUAGAGGAGCAUAGUGUGCGGGCAGAAGCCGUAGCGGGAGCAGCGGUGGACUGCACAGUAGAGAGAAUGCCGGUAUGAGUAACGAGAUGCAGGCGAGAAACCUGCACGUCGAAAGCCCAAGGUUUCCUGGGGAAGGUUCAUCCGCCCAGGGUAAGUCGGGGCCUAAGCCGAGGACAACAGUCGUAGGCGAUGGAUAACUGGUGGAGAUUCCAGUACCACCUUUAUGAGCGAAGCGCUGACACAGAAGGAUAGCAUGAGCCGGUUGAUGGUAGAGCCGGUCUAAGCGGUUAGGGGGUCGCGUAGUGAAGUACGCGCGGCGUUUGCCUGAGCCGUGAUGGGGACUGAAAUAAAAGUAGGGAAGCAUGUGAAUCCACGCUGGCAAGAAAAGGCGCUAGCAAUUGUAGGGGUGCCCGUACCGCAAACCGACGCAGGUGGGCGAGGAGAGAAUCCUAAGACGAACGAGAGAACCCUUGUUAAGGAACUCGGCAAAAUGACCCCGUAACUUCGGGAGAAGGGGUGCCUCGAAAGAGGCCGCAGAGAAUAGGCCCAAGCGACUGUUUAGCAAAAACACAGGUUUGUGCGAGAGCGAGAGCUGACGUAUACGAGCUGACGCCUGCCCGGUGCUGGAAGGUUAAGAGGAGUUGUCAUCGCAAGAGAAGCAGCGAAUUGAAGCCCCAGUAAACGGCGGCCGUAACCAUAACGGUCCUAAGGUAGCGAAAUUCCUUGUCGGGUAAGUUCCGACCCGCACGAAUGGCGUAACGACUUGGGCGCUGUCUCAACAAGGGACUCGGUGAAAUUGAAGUAUGGGUGAAGAUGCCCAUUACCCGCGACUGGACGGAAAGACCCCGUAGAGCUUUACUGCAGCUUAUCAUUGAGAAUUGGUAACGGAUGUACAGGAUAGGUGGGAGGCAAGGAAACAUCGUCGUCAGAUGGUGCGGAGCCGGCGUUGGGAUACCACUCUUCUGUUACUGGUUUUCUAACAACAUGCGAUAAUCUCGGUGAUGGACAGUGAUAGGUGGGCAGUUUGACUGGGGCGGUCGCCUCCCAAAGAGUAACGGAGGCGCCCAAAGGUUCCCUCAGAAUGGAUGGAAAUCAUUCGAAGAGUGCAAUGGCAGAAGGGAGCCUGACUGCGAGACAAACACGUCGGGCAGAGACGAAAGUCGGGCAUAGUGAUCAAGUGACAUCGAGUGGAAGAGUCAUCGCUCAACGGAAAAAAGCUACCUCGGGGAUAACAGGCUGAUCUCCCCCAAGAGUCCACAUCGACGGGGAGGUUAGGCACCUCGAUGUCGGCUCGUCGCAUCCUGGGGCUGAAGCAGGUCCCAAGGGUUUGGCUGUUCGCCAAUUAAAGCGGCACGCGAGCUGGGUUCAGAACGUCGUGAGACAGUUCGGUCCCUAUCCAUCGUGGGCGCAGGAAUUUUGAUGGGAGCUGUCCCUAGUACGAGAGGACCGGGAUGGACGCACCUCUGGUGCAACAGUUGUCAUGCCAAUGGCACGGCUGGGAAGCGAAGUGCGGAAGGGAUAAACGCUGAAGGCAUCUAAGCGUGAAGCCCCCCUGGAGAAUAGAAUUGCCACUGCUUAAAGCAGGUAAGACCCCUCAGAGACGAUGAGGUAGAUAGGUCAUCGGUGGAAGUUCGGUAACGGAUGGAGCUUGAUGAUACUAAUCGGUCGAGGGCUUGAUCG